GAUGAACGCUGGCGGCGUGCCUAAUACAUGCAAGUCGAGCGAUGAGGCUCCUUCGGGAGUACAUCAGCGGCGAACGGGUGAGUAACACGUAGGUGACUUGCCCCGAAGAUGGGGAUAACCUCUGGAAACGGGGGCUAAUACCCAAUGUGCUCGGUGAUUCGGUUGAUCGAGUAAAGCUCCGGCGCUUCGGGAGAGGCCUGCGGCCCAUCAGCUAGUUGGUAGGGUAACGGCCUACCAAGGCAGAGACGGGUAGGGGGCGUGAGAGCGCGGACCCCCACACUGGCACUGCGACACGGGCCAGACUCCUACGGGAGGCAGCAGUAAGGAAUAUUGCGCAAUGGACGAAAGUCAGACGCAGCGACGCCGCGUGGGCGAUGAAGGCCUUCGGGUUGUAAAGCCCUUUUACGGGGGAAGAGAAAAAGGACGGUACCCCAUGAAUAAGUCCCGGCUAACUACGUGCCAGCAGCCGCGGUAAAACGUAGGGGACAAGCGUUAUCCGGAUUCACUGGGCGUAAAGAGCGUUGAGGCGGUUCCGUAAGUUGGGCGUGAAAGCUCCGGGCUUAACCCGGAGAUGUCGUUCAAUACUGCGGGGCUUGAGGACAGCAGAGGAAGGUGGAAUUCCCGGUGUAGUGGUGAAAUGCGUAGAUAUCGGGAGGAACACCCGUGGCGAAGCGCCUUCUGGGCUGUUCCUGACGCUGAAGCGAAAGCUAGGGGAGCGAACCGGAUUAGAUACCCCGGUAGUCCUAGCUGUUAACGAUGAUG
RNAcentral lists this ribosomal RNA (762 nucleotides) under uncultured organism. RNAcentral describes it as "bacterial SSU rRNA". It matches the Rfam family "Bacterial small subunit ribosomal RNA", at positions 28 to 814 of the family's 1533-position model. The record is from RNAcentral.